GGGCUGGGCUGGGCCGGCCCGCUCCGGCGCCGGGGACCACGCGCGACUGGUUAGAUCUUGUCGUGAUCUCUGGAAAACUGUGACUAUCUCACAUGCCCUGCCCUGCUCGGAUCCCCUGCGCUAACGAGCCAGGCCCCCCUUGAUUGCUGAUUUUACGCUUUUUGGACCAAUUGUGGGUCUCCGGGGGCGGGGUUUUGACAGCUCAGGCCAAGCUCCGGCCGGGAGGGGGGGCCGGGGAGAAGGUGUCGGAAGCCUCAGCAGUAAGAAAACAUGUCAACGGAAUAAAAUAUUAACCAAUGACGGCCCGGCGGGCCCGAGACCCCUCCCCCUGGCCGGGCCCCCACCCCGCCGCCCGCGCCCGCGGCUCCCGAGCGCGGACUGGGAAGCGUGGAGGGCCGACCUGACCCGCCGAAAGGGCCGAGGCGGGGGGCGCCGGGGCCGAGGGCCUCAGGGAAGGACCCCUAGCCGCGUGCCGGCCCCAAGUGCAAAGCAUUGACACGUCCCCGAGAGGAGAGGGGGCGCCCUCCUUCUCCCGCGCCCGGAAGCCCGGCCGCUCGGGCCGGCGCCCCAGCCUGGCCUCCGACUUGGCUCCCGGUCGCCGCCCGGGUCCCCGCGCUCCACAGGGAGGCUGCGGGCGCUGGAAAGCGAGGCCGGUGGGCGGGCGAGUCGGGAGGCUCGGGCGGCUGAGGUCCCGGAGCGGAACCCAGGUGGCGGGAGCUGCCCCUCACUGUGCUUCUGAGAUGUGGAUGCGCAUGUGGCUGGCAGUCUCUGUCCCAAGCAAGAUGAGACCUGCAGUGCAAGCUUCGCCAAGAGGCCACAAAAACCCCUCUUAG
RNAcentral lists this long non-coding RNA (833 nucleotides) under Chinchilla lanigera (long-tailed chinchilla). RNAcentral describes it as "lncRNA (ENSCLAG00000026120.1)". The record is from RNAcentral. Lineage: Eukaryota; Metazoa; Chordata; Mammalia; Rodentia; Chinchillidae.